GCGGGGAUAGCUCAGCUGGGAGAGCGUCAGACUGAAGUCAAAACUUCGGGAUUCCUUGAAUAAUCUGAAGGUCGUGCGUUCGAUCCGCACUCACCGCA
This is a non-coding RNA of Hypoxylon sp. FL1284, 98 nucleotides long. The record is from the annotation of a GenBank genome assembly. NCBI's taxonomy places the organism in Eukaryota, Fungi, Ascomycota, Sordariomycetes, Xylariales, Hypoxylaceae.